This 62-nucleotide transfer RNA is filed under the name Faecalibacterium prausnitzii. RNAcentral's name for it is "tRNA-OTHER". It matches the Rfam family "tRNA". Rfam says of the family: Transfer RNA (tRNA) molecules are approximately 80 nucleotides in length. Their secondary structure includes four short double-helical elements and three loops (D, anti-codon, and T loops). Further hydrogen bonds mediate the characteristic L-shaped molecular structure. tRNAs have two regions of fundamental functional importance: the anti-codon, which is responsible for specific mRNA codon recognition, and the 3' end, to which the tRNAs corresponding amino acid is attached (by aminoacyl-tRNA synthetases). tRNAs cope with the degeneracy of the genetic code in two manners: having more than one tRNA (with a specific anti-codon) for a particular amino acid; and 'wobble' base-pairing, i.e. permitting non-standard base-pairing at the 3rd anti-codon position. The record is from RNAcentral. RNAcentral also lists the same sequence under 1 other name. Lineage: Bacteria; Bacillati; Bacillota; Clostridia; Eubacteriales; Oscillospiraceae.
GCUGCGUUAGCUCAACCGGCAGAGCAUCCGGGGAGUUACAGGUUCGAUUCCUGCACGCGGCA